GACGAACGCUGGCGGCGUGCUUAACACAUGCAAGUCGAACGGACAGGCCCUGCUUUUGUGGGGUGCUCGAGUGGCGAACGGGUGAGUAACACGUGAGUAACCUGCCCUUGACUUUGGGAUAACUUCAGGAAACUGGGGCUAAUACCGCAUAGGAGCUCCUGCUGCAUGGGGGGGGUGGGAAAGUUUCGGCGGUUGGGGAUGGUCUCGCGGCUUAUCAGCUUGUUGGUGGGGUAGUGGCUUACCAAGGCUUUGACGGGUAGCCGGCCUGAGGGGGUGACCGGCAACGUUGGGACUGAGAUACGGCCCAGACUCCUCCGGGAGGCGGCAGUGGGGAAUAUUGCACAAUGGGCUGAAGCCUGAUGCAGCAACGCCGCGUGCGGGAUGACGGCCUGCGGGUUGUAAACCGCUUUCGCCUGUGACGAAGCGUGAGUGACGGUAAUGGGUAAAGAAGCACCGGCUAACUACGUG
RNAcentral lists this ribosomal RNA (468 nucleotides) under uncultured bacterium. RNAcentral's name for it is "partial 16S ribosomal RNA". It matches the Rfam family "Bacterial small subunit ribosomal RNA", at positions 28 to 507 of the family's 1533-position model. The record is from RNAcentral.